UACGGAGGGUGCGAGCGUUGUCCGGAAUCAUUGGGCGUAAAGGGCGCGUAGGUGGCCCGGUCAGUCUUUGGUGAAAGCCCUGGGCUCAACCCAGGAAGUGCACUCGAAACUGGCAGGCUAGAGUACUGGAGAGGUUGGUGGAAUUCUCGGUGUAGAGGUGAAAUUCGUAGAUAUCGAGAGGAACACCGGUGGCGAAGGCGGCCAACUGGACAGAUACUGACGCUGAGACUCGAAAGCGUGGGAGCAAACAGG
This 252-nucleotide ribosomal RNA is filed under the name uncultured bacterium. RNAcentral describes it as "partial 16S ribosomal RNA". It matches the Rfam family "Bacterial small subunit ribosomal RNA", at positions 524 to 776 of the family's 1533-position model. The record is from RNAcentral.